CACAAGUAAAUGUAAAUGUACCAGCUGGAGGAUGAGUCUGCACAUUUGGAUGAAAUGCCACUAAUGAUGUCUGAAGAAGGCUUUGAGAAUGAGGAAAGUGAUUACCACACCUUACCACAAGCCAGGAUAAUGCAAAGGAAAAGAGGACUGGAAUGGUUUGUCUGUGAUGGCUGGAAGUUCCUCUGUACCAGUUGCUGUGAUUGGCUGAUAAAUAUUUGUCAAAGAAAGAAAGAACUGAAAGCUCGCACAGUAUGGCUUGGAUGUCCCGAAAAGUGUGAAGAAAAACAUCCCAAGAAUUCUAUAAAAAAUCAAAAAUACAAUGUGUUUACCUUUAUACCUGGGGUUUUAUAUGAACAAUUCAAGUUUUUCUUGAAUCUCUAUUUUCUGAUAAUAUCCUGCUCACAGUUUGUACCAGCAUUGAAAAUAGGCUAUCUCUACACCUACUGGGCUCCUCUGGGAUUUGUCUUGGCUGUUACUAUGAUGCGGGAAGCAAUUGACGAAUUUCGGCGUUUUCAACGUGACAAGGAAGUGAAUUCCCAGCUAUAUAGCAAGCUUACAGUAAGAGGUAAAGUGCAAGUUAAGAGUUCAGACAUACAAGUUGGAGACCUCAUCAUAGUGGAAAAGGUCGAUGAAUUUUUAAUAUAUUUUAGACCUAUAUUUACUAGUUAUUAAUGUUUAGCCUGAUUGCAAGUAACUUCUGAAUUUGAAAGAAAUUAAGACAUGUAUUUAAAAUUAUAAUAUCCUGUGUAAGAUUUGGUGUAUGUGAAGAAGAAUCUAGAUUUUUGUAUAUUCUGUUUUACUAAAGUAUAUUUCAGUGUGUGCAGGCAAAUUGAUUUUUUUCUAAAACAAGAAGUGUUAACUGCU
RNA transcript from Sapajus apella (tufted capuchin), 864 nucleotides. It is a transcript of the gene named probable phospholipid-transporting ATPase IIB pseudogene, with no coding region annotated. The transcript has a single exon. NCBI's taxonomy places the organism in Eukaryota, Metazoa, Chordata, Mammalia, Primates, Cebidae. The record is from RefSeq and is a predicted model, not a curated record.